This 631-nucleotide ribosomal RNA is filed under the name Microbacterium sp. So2Ps_1644. RNAcentral's name for it is "bacterial SSU rRNA". It matches the Rfam family "Bacterial small subunit ribosomal RNA", at positions 389 to 1031 of the family's 1533-position model. Lineage: Bacteria; Bacillati; Actinomycetota; Actinomycetes; Micrococcales; Microbacteriaceae. The record is from RNAcentral.
CAGCAACGCCGCGUGAGGGACGACGGCCUUCGGGUUGUAAACCUCUUUUAGCAGGGAAGAAGCGAAAGUGACGGUACCUGCAGAAAAAGCACCGGCUAACUACGUGCCAGCAGCCGCGGUAAUACGUAGGGUGCAAGCGUUAUCCGGAAUUAUUGGGCGUAAAGAGCUCGUAGGCGGUUUGUCGCGUCUGCUGUGAAACCCCGAGGCUCAACCUCGGGCCUGCAGUGGGUACGGGCAGACUAGAGUGCGGUAGGGGAGAUUGGAAUUCCUGGUGUAGCGGUGGAAUGCGCAGAUAUCAGGAGGAACACCGAUGGCGAAGGCAGAUCUCUGGGCCGUAACUGACGCUGAGGAGCGAAAGGGUGGGGAGCAAACAGGCUUAGAUACCCUGGUAGUCCACCCCGUAAACGUUGGGAACUAGUUGUGGGGUCCAUUCCACGGAUUCCGUGACGCAGCUAACGCAUUAAGUUCCCCGCCUGGGGAGUACGGCCGCAAGGCUAAAACUCAAAGGAAUUGACGGGGACCCGCACAAGCGGCGGAGCAUGCGGAUUAAUUCGAUGCAACGCGAAGAACCUUACCAAGGCUUGACAUAUACGAGAACGGGCUAGAAAUAGUCAACUCUUUGGACACUCGU